Molecule: transfer RNA, 73 nt
Filed under: Hofstenia miamia
Lineage: Eukaryota; Metazoa; Xenacoelomorpha; Acoela; Hofsteniidae
Description: tRNA-Val for anticodon AAC
Rfam family: tRNA
About the family: Transfer RNA (tRNA) molecules are approximately 80 nucleotides in length. Their secondary structure includes four short double-helical elements and three loops (D, anti-codon, and T loops).
Source: RNAcentral
GGCACCAUGGUGUAGUGGUUAUCACAUUUGCCUAACACGCAGAAGGUCCCCAGUUCAGGCCUGGGUGGUGUCA